RNAcentral lists this small RNA (187 nucleotides) under Streptococcus phage Javan269. RNAcentral describes it as "Listeria sRNA rli28". It matches the Rfam family "Listeria sRNA rli28". The record is from Rfam by way of RNAcentral. Lineage: Duplodnaviria; Heunggongvirae; Uroviricota; Caudoviricetes.
GUUUAUGUGGUAUAAUAUCUAUUGUAGAAAAGUGAAGACGGUGGCUCCUUAUACCGAAAGAGAGGUGAUGCCUAUGGGCAGUUCAUCAAAAUCUGACGGAAAGGAGGGGCACUCUUUUGACCGCAUUUGAAGUUGUACAGACAAUACUUGGUUUUGGUAGUUUUGCCAUUACUUUGAUUGGCUUGUG